UUCUCAGGUAUCGCGGCAAUGGAAUGAACCUCUCUGUUCUGGUCUCUCCGCUUUCCUUCCAAGAUGUGAGCAGUUGAUAGGUGCGACGACUCCAGAGAAUUCAACCCAAUACAGGCAACGCUAAUAGGAAUGACAUGGGGCAUCUAAAGAUGAGGAGCAGUAAGAACCUUGAAACAAGGAAAAUCCCUGAAGUAAGGACCAUGAAUGGACCUGUAACUGGCACCUUAUCAACCUUGAAAGGUUGAGCUUCACCAAGAAUGUUCAAGUUCUUUGUUGACAACUGAGUAAAAAGACAAUAAAUGCAAGCAACGUACUGAAACAC
Pocillopora damicornis (cauliflower coral) is the source of this 322-nucleotide long non-coding RNA. Lineage: Eukaryota; Metazoa; Cnidaria; Anthozoa; Scleractinia; Pocilloporidae. The record is from RefSeq and is a predicted model, not a curated record.